UACGGAGGGUGCGAGCGUUGUCCGGAAUCACUGGGCGUAAAGGGCGCGUAGGCGGCCUGGUAAGUAGGGGGUGAAAUCCUGCGGCUUAACCGCAGGGCUGCCUUCUAAACUGUCAGGCUUGAGCACAGUAGAGGCAGGUGGAAUUCCCGGUGUAGCGGUGGAAUGCGUAGAGAUCGGGAAGAACAUCAGUGGCGAAGGCGGCCUGCUGGGCUGUUGCUGACGCUGAGGCGCGACAGCGUGGGGAGCGAACAGG
This 253-nucleotide ribosomal RNA is filed under the name uncultured bacterium. RNAcentral describes it as "partial 16S ribosomal RNA". It matches the Rfam family "Bacterial small subunit ribosomal RNA", at positions 524 to 776 of the family's 1533-position model. The record is from RNAcentral.